RNAcentral lists this ribosomal RNA (400 nucleotides) under uncultured bacterium. Its description in RNAcentral is "bacterial SSU rRNA". It matches the Rfam family "Bacterial small subunit ribosomal RNA", at positions 30 to 429 of the family's 1533-position model. The record is from RNAcentral.
AUUGAACGCUGGCGGCAUGCCUUACACAUGCAAGUCGAACGGCAGCACGGGAGCUUGCUCCUGGUGGCGAGUGGCGAACGGGUGAGUAAUACAUCGGAACGUACCCUGAAGUGGGGGAUAACGUAGCGAAAGUUACGCUAAUACCGCAUAUUCUGUGAGCAGGAAGGAGGGGGAGUCGCAAGACCUCUUGCUUUAGGAGCGGCCGAUGUCGGAUUAGCUAGUUGUGAGGUAAAGGACUCACCAAGGCGACGAUCCGUAGCGGGUCUGAGAGGAUGAUCCGCCACACUGGGACUGAGACACGGCCCAGACUCCUACGGGAGGCAGCAGUGGGGAAUUUUGGACAAUGGGCGCAAGCCUGAUCCAGCCAUGCCGCGUGAGUGAAGAAGGCCUUCGGUGUAAG